Molecule: ribosomal RNA, 484 nt
Filed under: uncultured bacterium
Lineage: Bacteria
Description: partial 16S ribosomal RNA
Rfam family: Bacterial small subunit ribosomal RNA
Source: RNAcentral
AUUGAACGCUGGCGGCAGGCCUAACACAUGCAAGUCGAGCGGAUGAAGGGAGCUUGCUCCUGGAUUCAGCGGCGGACGGGUGAGUAAUGCCUAGGAAUCUGCCUGGUAGUGGGGGAUAACGUCCGGAAACGGGCGCUAAUACCGCAUACGUCCUGAGGGUGAAAGUGGGGGAUCUUCGGACCUCACGCUAUCAGAUGAGCCUAGGUCGGAUUAGCUAGUUGGUGGGGUAAAGGCCUACCAAGGCGACGAUCCGUAACUGGUCUGAGAGGAUGAUCAGUCACACUGGAACUGAGACACGGUCCAGACUCCUACGGGAGGCAGCAGUGGGGAAUAUUGGACAAUGGGCGAAAGCCUGAUCCAGCCAUGCCGCGUGUGUGAAGAAGGUCUUCGGAUUGUAAAGCACUUUAAGUUGGGAGGAAGGGCAGUAAGUUAAUACCUCGCUGUUUUGACGUUACCAAAAGAAUAAGCACCGGCUAACUUCGUG